CCCACUGAAAUAAGUAUUGAGAUAAUUGUAGAUUCACACGGAGUUUUAAGAAACAGAUUCUGGAAGUCUCUGUUGUGACUCAGCAGUAACAAACCUGACUAGAUCCAUGAGGACAUGGAUUCAAUCCCUGGCCUCGCUCAGUGGGUUAAGGACCUGGCGUUGCUAUGAACUCUGGUGUAGGUCGCAGACGUGGCUCAAAUCCCUUGCAGCUGGGGCUGUGGUGUUAGGCCAGCAGCUACAGCUGGGAUUUGACCCCUAGCCUGGGAACUUCCACACGCUGCAGGUGAAGGGGAUUCUGUGUAUAUUUUAUCCAAUUUCUCCCAAUUGUAACAUCUUGCAAAACUAAAAUUUCACAACCAUGACAGUGACACGGAUACAAUCUAUCUCAGAUUCCCCUCAGAUUCCCCAGGUUUCCUUAUACCUCAUUUGUCUCUGUGUGUCAUUAGUUCUAUACACUUUAUUACUUGAGUAGGUCCAUGUAGCCAAUCCCACAACCAAGUUACUCCAUCACAAGGAUGUGCUGCUUUUAAAACCAUACCUACCUCUUCCCCCAUUCCCAUUCCUAACCCCCAGCAACUAUCAAUCUGUUCUCCAUUUCCAUAAUUUUUUCAUUUCAGUGUAUAUAUAAAUGGAAUUAUAUAUCUUAGGUAGUUUUGGGGGAUUGGAUUUUUUCACUCAGCAUAAUUCCCUUGAAAUUCAUCCAAGUUUUCACACGAAUCAAGUCUGUUCCUUCUGACUGCUGACUAGUAACCCAUGGGGUGGAUGGACCACAGUUUAAUCAUUCACCUCCUGAAGGACACUGGCAUAGUUUCCAAUCUGGGGCUGUUAACGAACAAAGCUGCCAUGAACAUUCUUGUGCUCCUCUCUUUUUGAUCAUGAAUUGAUACAGAUGCUCUUACUUCACUGAUAUCUCUGUUCCUGCUGCUGCCAACAAGAGUUGUCGUCACACCAUUCUUUCUAUGCCAACUCCUAGUGGCUGUGGAUAAUCUGCCCAGAUGCUCCCCUACAGAUACUUAUCACUAGACAGGCACCUUCAAGCAUUUCCCCUAAAGGAAAUAAAACAGAACAAACAUGGGUUUGGGAGCCUGACGACCUGGGCUCUGCCAUUUGUAGUGGUGAAGUCUCACACGAGUCACUCAACUCUGAAUCUGUUUCGUAAUCAUAUUAACAUGGCUGACAGUUAAGGUUUCUUUUUCAGCAUCUCGUGGUGGCAGUGUAAGGUAAUGGUUAAAAGCAGGAACUCUGCUACCAAACUGCCUGGGGUUGAAUCCCAACUCUACCACUUCUUGGGUAUGUAACCUCAGGCCAGUUAUUUAACCUCCCCAUGCCUGUUUUUCCAUCUGUAAAUAGGUAUGCUAACAGUUCCUACCACAUGAGGAUUAAGUUAACACACCUUCGUGUUUAGAACAGCUCCUGGCACAUAGUAUUUACUAAGCAUUAGCUCCCAUUGCUAUGUGGCAGGCACUAUUUUAAGUAGUUACACAUAUUAUUUUAUUUAAUCCUAUCAAUGACUUUAUAAUGCAAGUGCUAUUAUGCAAUCGAUUUUACAGAUGACAAAAUUGCAAUUUAAGGGAUUAAGUCACUUGCCCGUGAUCACAGGGCUGGAAAACGAGGGAGCUGAGAUUCAAUUUUGAGUCUCUCUUUGCUCCUCACUUCUAUACCAUCCUGCAGGUCCAUGAACUGGGGGUGGCAGUGCCCUGCCAGGCAAAGAAGUUAUGAGGAUUUACAAAGAAGUGUCUUCCAUGGUGCCUGGUAUUCAACCUGCUCCAAGUGUGUUAGUGUACCUUUUAACUACUGUUGGUUGAUGAGCAAUAGAUCAUUCUGCAGUUCAGAGCAGAAAUUGGCCUCUUAAGACACAAACCACCAAAACAGAAGUAACAAUUUGAGGAUUUUGACAGAUGAAUCUGCAAACCUUCCCAAAGCUGACCAGCCCCAACAGUCACAAUCAGAUUUGGGACAAGUCCAUCCAACUCAGUCAUAAUCCAUUACAACAGAGCAGCUACCUCACUUCCUUUUUUGGAAGCUACCACGCAGAGACUGCUCAGACAGAGGCACCAGUACGAGCUCUGCCAGAACAGAAGCCACGCAUUCCUGCACUCUUUCCCCAGCUCUUACCCCAGCAUCUGGGAUAGCCUCUCAGUAAAGGUGUGCAGAACCCAUGGAGGCUCUGGUGUAACAGAGGGGCUGCGCCAGGAUCCAGAGACCUGGGUCUGGUUCUCCACUGAGCCUCCUCAACCACGUCACUUCAAGGGUCACAUCCUCUAAUGAGGCCUCAAUGACCCCAAAUGUGAAAUGAGGGGUUUCCACGUUACACACUUGAGUCCCAGCUCCAUAUUCUCUACUAGCAGCAAAGCACUAAAUACUUUUCUCUCUUUUCUUUUUUCCUUCUCCCCCUCUAUUUCCUUCCUUCUUUCUUUUAGUCAGACAACAAAUAUUUCCUGCCAUGUGCCAAAUUCUAUGCCAGAAACCAGGGACUCAAUGUGAGCAAGAUAAAUACGGAAAAAAAGGUACUUAAGUGUUUGAUUUACUUAAUGCUCUAAACGCAUAAGAAUAUUCAAUUUGUACUUUGAAACUUUUAACACAUAUGCCAACCACGCAGUUCUCAUUAUUGUCAAUGAUAUGUGUGGAAGGAAGUAAAGGAAAAUCAGGCUGCACUCAACACUUAAGAGAAGCCCUUCAGUUCUGACAUAAACAACUAUAAUUAUGUAGACAAUUCAGGCUUAAACAGGCUUGGGCUGAAAUUGCCAAGUCAGUGCACCAGUUACCCAAGUGAGACUGGCUGGUAGAAACACUAUGACAAACAACUCCCAUUCCAGCUUUAAAAAACUGCUGUACAGUAGAAAAUUCACAGAAUACUGUAAACCAACUAUAACGGAAAAAAUAAAAAUUAUAAAAAUAAAAAUUAAAAAUUCACCAUACUGGUGCACACACUGUUGAGCUGGGAAAAUGAUUUCCUCUUUAGAACUAGCUUAAGAGCAUAGCAAUGGGGGAGUUCUCCUUGUGGCUCAGGGGAGGUGAGCCCAGCUAGCAUCCACAAGGACAAGGCUUUGAUCCCUGGCCCCCACUCAGUGGGUUAACGGAUCCGGUGUUGCUGUGAGCUGUGGAGUAUGUAGCUCAUAGCUUAGGCGCAGAUCUGGUGUUGCUGCGGCUGUGGCGUAGGCCAGCAGCUGUAGCUCUGAUUCAACCCCUAGCCUGGGAACUUCCAUAUGCCACAAGUGCUGCCCUAAAAAAAAAAAAAAAAAAAAA
Molecule: long non-coding RNA, 3246 nt
Filed under: Sus scrofa (pig)
Lineage: Eukaryota; Metazoa; Chordata; Mammalia; Artiodactyla; Suidae
Description: lncRNA (ENSSSCG00030029400.1)
Source: RNAcentral